This 757-nucleotide ribosomal RNA is filed under the name uncultured bacterium. Its description in RNAcentral is "bacterial SSU rRNA". It matches the Rfam family "Bacterial small subunit ribosomal RNA", at positions 8 to 796 of the family's 1533-position model. The record is from RNAcentral.
AGAGUUUGAUCCUGGCUCAGAAUCAACGCUGGCGGCGCGCCUAACACAUGCAAGUCGAACGAGAAAGUGGAGCAAUCCAUGAGUACAGUGGCGUACGGGUGAGUAACACGUGGAUAACCUACCUCUUUGUGGGGAAUAACCGAGGGAAACCUUGGCUAAUACCGCAUGAGCCCGAGAGGGGAAACGCGAAAGCGGCAGAGAGAGGGGUCCGCGGCCGAUUAGCUAGUUGGCAGGGUAAAAGCCUACCAAGGCAAAGAUCGGUAGCCGGCCUGAGAGGGCACACGGCCACACUGGCACUGAAACACGGGCCAGACUCCUACGGGAGGCAGCAGUGGGGAAUCUUGCACAAUGGGGGAAACCCUGAUGCAGCGACGCCGCGUGAGCGAUGAAGCCCUUCGGGGUGUAAAGCUCUUUCGGCAGGGAAGAUGAUGACGGUACCUGCAGAAGCAGCUGCGGCUAACUACGUGCCAGCAGCCGCGGUAAUACGUAGGCAGCAAGCGUUGUUCGGAGUUACUGGGCGUAAAGGGUGUGUAGGCGGUUGUUUAAGUUUGGUGUGAAAUCUCCCGGCUCAACUGGGAGGGUGCGCCGAAUACUGAAUGACUUGGAGUGCGGGAGAGGAAAGUGGAAUUCCUGGUGUAGCGGUGAAAUGCGUAGAUAUCAGGAGGAACACCGGUGGUGUAGACGGCUUUCUGGACCGUAACUGACGCUGAGACACGAAAGCGUGGGUAGCAAACAGGAUUAGAUACCCCGGUAGUCC